This 241-nucleotide long non-coding RNA is filed under the name Homo sapiens (human). RNAcentral's name for it is "HSALNT0266546". Lineage: Eukaryota; Metazoa; Chordata; Mammalia; Primates; Hominidae. The record is from RNAcentral.
UUGGCAUGUCUGUCAACAUGUUUGAGUGGCUCUCCUCUAGACAGAAACGAGAAUAAGCAAGCUGGCAGGCUUCCUUGCAUCCUGGGGCAUUGAGUAUCAGCCCAUGUUUAGUGCCGGAAGCGCCACAGCAGACAGCUUGUGUUUUCUUACCCCUCGAAUAGCUGCGCUUCCCUGGUCUGGGUGCCCAGCUAAAUUCUCAGCCUGGGCUUGUGGAGUUCUUUGUAGAUGUAUUUAAGAAGGC